This 1614-nucleotide long non-coding RNA is filed under the name Equus asinus (donkey). RNAcentral's name for it is "lncRNA (ENSEASG00005032497.1)". Lineage: Eukaryota; Metazoa; Chordata; Mammalia; Perissodactyla; Equidae. The record is from RNAcentral.
UGCACGUGUGCUGUCUCUGUUGAGGACACCUUUCCCAAUUUCCGCCUCAUCCUAUGGGACUCAGCUCACACCAGAAGUCCCUUCUGCAAAGCUCUCCUUACCUGCGGUUGAGCAAAGUGGCUUUUCCGACAGCUGACACAGACAGUGUUUUCUUGGCUUCUGAAGGAGGUUUGCUCAUUCGAAACUGUGGGGACUGAGCUGAGGAAAGCAACGGGACCUCUCCCCUGGGCGGACGCUGCCGGCGUGAUGUCUUGGAGAUGACAUUUUAGUCCAGGAGGGCAAGAGUGGAGAAAAUGAAAUGAGCUGAAGAGUGCGUAUGAAAUUUAUUUUAUUCAAGUGAAGAUUUAUGCUGGCAGAUUUCAUUCCGGCUGACAUUGACCUUUUCGGAUGAGAUGAGAGUUUCUGCGGGUCAGGACUCUGGGAGCAGCCUCACUAUGCUGUUCUGGCUCAGGAUCUCCAAUGAAGCUGUGGUCAAGAUGUCGGCUGGGCUUAGUCAUCUGAAGGCUCGACUGGGGUGGAGGGUCUGCUCCCAAGAUGGCACACUCCAUGCCUGUUAGCUGGAGGCCUCAUCUCCUCCCAGUGUGAGCCUCUCCACUGGGCUGCUUGAGUGUCCUUGAGACAGGCCACUGCUUCCACCAGAGCAAGCAACCCAAGGGAAAGGGAGACAGAGGCCACAGUGGCCCUCAUACUCCAGCCUCCAGUGUGAUCUCCCACCAUUCCUCCUGGGUUCUGCUGGUUACACACAUAAUCUUGGUCCGUUCAGGCUGCUAUGACAAAAUACCACAAACUGGGUGGCUUAUCAACAACAGAAACCUGCUUCCCUCAGUUCUGGAGGCUGGGGAGUCCAAGAUCAAGGUGCCAGCAUGGUCACGUUCCCGUGAGGGCUUUCUGCUGCGUUCAUUGCUGACACCUCACUGUGUCCUCACAUGGUGGAAGGGGCGGAAGUCUCUGUGAGGUCUCUUUUAUAAGAACACUAAUCUCAUUCAUGAGGGCUCCAUCCUCCUGACCUAGGCACCACUCAAAGGCCCCAUCUCCUAACACCACCGCGUUGGGCAAUAGGAUUUCAGCAUAUGAAUUUUAGGGGGACACAAACAUUCAGAGCACAGCACAGACCAACCCUGACACAAUGUGGGAGGGGACUAUAGAGGGGUGUGAAUACCAUGAGGUGGGAUCAUUGGGACUAUCUUGGAGACUGGCUGCCACGAAGUGGCAGGUGGCUGAGCAUUAGCCUCGCCCCUCUGCCAUUUCACCUGAAUUCUGCUGGGAAAAAGGGGCCAUGUCCAAAGGCUGUUAUCUUAAACUCCUGCCCGACAGUCUGAAGGCACAGGAAGUCAGACUCAGGGUAAUUUUCAAGUCCAGCCAAUGCAUUUUUAUUAGACACUGAAUUAGUUGGCUGACUGCAUUGUCUAACCCCGGAACAAGCAUCUACAUAAAGGAGGCCAUGAAGUGGCUCUACUUACUACGUCCUUAGUGCCAAGUGUCACCAGGUCACGGGGCAUGGGUUGUCUUAGAGAAAGAUAAGCGGAAAGCAAUAGAUUGUGAUGUAUAAUCAAGCAGUGGAAAGUGCAACACAGACUAAAUGUGGAGGAAUUUAGGGCUUCCUGCUGGUUAGCA